AUUGAACGCUGGCGGCAGGCCUAACACAUGCAAGUCGAACGGUAAUAGGAAGCAGCUUGCUGCUUCGCUGACGAGUGGCGGACGGGUGAGUAAUGUCUGGGAAACUGCCUGAUGGAGGGGGAUAACUACUGGAAACGGUAGCUAAUACCGCAUAACGUCGCAAGACCAAAGAGGGGGACCUUAGGGCCUCUUGCCAUCGGAUGUGCCCAGAUGGGAUUAGCUAGUAGGUGGGGUAACGGCUCACCUAGGCGACGAUCCCUAGCUGGUCUGAGAGGAUGACCAGCCACACUGGAACUGAGACACGGUCCAGACUCCUACGGGAGGCAGCAGUGGGGAAUAUUGCACAAUGGGCGCAAGCCUGAUGCAGCCAUGCCGCGUGUAUGAAGAAGGCCUUCGGGUUGUAAAGUACUUUCAGCGGGGAGGAAGGGAGUAAAGUUAAUACCUUUGCUCAUUGACGUUACCCGCAGAAGAAGCACCGGCUAACUCCGUG
Molecule: ribosomal RNA, 490 nt
Filed under: uncultured bacterium
Lineage: Bacteria
Description: partial 16S ribosomal RNA
Rfam family: Bacterial small subunit ribosomal RNA
Source: RNAcentral